RNAcentral lists this small nuclear RNA (21 nucleotides) under Arabidopsis thaliana (thale cress). RNAcentral describes it as "snRNA_09991". The record is from RNAcentral. Lineage: Eukaryota; Viridiplantae; Streptophyta; Magnoliopsida; Brassicales; Brassicaceae.
AACCAAGACGUAUCGUUCUUU